RNAcentral lists this long non-coding RNA (223 nucleotides) under Pan troglodytes (chimpanzee). RNAcentral's name for it is "long non-coding RNA NONPTRT012162". The record is from RNAcentral. Lineage: Eukaryota; Metazoa; Chordata; Mammalia; Primates; Hominidae.
UAAAGGCUCCUAGAACUGAUAAACAAUUUCAGUAAAGUUUCAAGAUACAAAGUCAAUAUGCAAAAAUCAGUAGUAAUAGACCAAGAUUCAUAAAUAAGAUGUUAUUCACAGAAUCUUGAAUGAUGUCAUUUUAUUCACAUAUAUACACACAUAUUAUAUAGAGAGGUAACUCUAAAUCUUGUGCCACAAACAUAAUACAGGAUGAAAAUCUCAAAUAGAUUUA